Long non-coding RNA from Harpia harpyja (harpy eagle), 454 nucleotides. RefSeq lists it as uncharacterized. The record is from RefSeq and is a predicted model, not a curated record. Lineage: Eukaryota; Metazoa; Chordata; Aves; Accipitriformes; Accipitridae. The transcript has 5 exons.
CUUAGCUUUUCAGCUGCCUGUUGUGUUUUGGUUGAAAGGAUGAGAGAAAGAGAUUGUGAAGAGCACACUUGAGUCUACAAAGAUUUUCCCAUAAGAAUCAAGUCUACUAGAUGAAUUUCAAGUUUUGUCCUGGAAGCCUUCUGGAGCAGAGCAGUGGAAAGCUACUGACACAAUGUCGCCUUUUUGAGAGUGCUGGAUUGUCUGGAACUGGACAAAAAUGCCACUUCAGGGGUCAUCCUGGAGUCAAACAAAAUGAGGGACUGCUUGCUGAGUUCAGCUUCAAACUAAGAAAGAAUAAAUGAGAAGAUGUGAAGGAAAGAAAGUUCCAGGACUAAAGCUUUUCAAAACAAUGUGAUUUUACUGAAUUAUCAUAUCCCACAAGUUCUUCAGUCACAUGAGAACUUGAAGUAUAAAGACCUGAAGCCGAAAAGAACAUUCUUACCAAGGAAUACGA